UGUAACCUCUGCCUCCCGGGUUCAAGCGAUUCUCAUGCUUCAGCGUCCCAAGUAGCUGGGAUUACAGGCCUCCAGUUGCAAAGCUCUCCAUUGUCAGAUUACGCUGCCCGAUGGGCAUGAAAAGUCCACAAAAGAGAAUUUUCUGAUGUGAGAAUGGAGGGUGUUGCCUGCAACUACCCCAGAUCCCUGCGGUGGCAGUUUAAGCCGCCUCCUGGAACAGAUUGUUAAGCUGAUGCGAGUCUGGGCUCUGCCUCACCACUUGUCUCAGAGAAUGUCCAGUGCUAGGAGACUCAUAAGUUGGAGAGAAAUGGCCUGAUUUAUAGAAACUGAGCGAGACUCCGGAGCCACCUGAUGCAGAGAAAACUGUGACCUGAAAAAGUCUAUUUGUGUUUCCUCUGGGAAUCUGGGCCAAGAAGACAGGGACAAGCUCCCAACUCUGACUACCCCUUUUACAGGGAAAAACAAAUCCCGUGCCUUCUUUGCAGCAAGUGACAAAUCCUUGUCAU
RNAcentral lists this long non-coding RNA (506 nucleotides) under Pongo abelii (Sumatran orangutan). RNAcentral's name for it is "lincRNA". Lineage: Eukaryota; Metazoa; Chordata; Mammalia; Primates; Hominidae. The record is from RNAcentral.